RNAcentral lists this ribosomal RNA (497 nucleotides) under uncultured bacterium. Its description in RNAcentral is "partial 16S ribosomal RNA". It matches the Rfam family "Bacterial small subunit ribosomal RNA", at positions 28 to 507 of the family's 1533-position model. The record is from RNAcentral.
GAUGAACGCUGGCGGCGUGCCUAAUACAUGCAAGUCGAGCGAACGGACGAGAAGCUUGCUUCUCUGAUGUUAGCGGCGGACGGGGGAGUAACACGUGGAUAACCUACCUAUAAGACUGGGAUAACUUCGGGAAAACGGAGCUAAUACCGGAUAAUAUUUUGAACCGCAUGGUUCAAAAGUGAAAGACGGUCUUGCUGUCACUUAUAGAUGGAUCCGCGCUGCAUUAGCUAGUUGGUAAGGUAACGGCUUACCAAGGCAACGAUGCAUAGCCGACCUGAGAGGGUGAUCGGCCACACUGGAACUGAGACACGGUCCAGACUCCUACGGGAGGCAGCAGUAGGGAAUCUUCCGCAAUGGGCGAAAGCCUGACGGAGCAACGCCGCGUGAGUGAUGAAGGUCUUCGGAUCGUAAAACUCUGUUAUUAGGGAAGAACAUAUGUGUAAGUAACUGUGCACAUCUUGACGGUACCUAAUCAGAAAGCCACGGCUAACUACGUG